CCCUUAGAUGUUCUGGGCUGCACGCGCGCUACAAUGGCGUUUUCAAAAAGAUUGCUAAUCCGAAAGGACCAGCGGAUCUUCGAAGUGGCGUCGUGAUCGGGACAGUUGAUUGCAAUUAUUCGACUCGAACGAGGAAUUCCUUGUAAUCGUGCGUCAUCAGCGCACGCUGAAUACGUCCCUGUUCUUUGUACACACCGCCCGUCGCUCCUACCGAUCGAGCGAUCCAAUGAAUGUUUCGGAGCGGAACUGAGAUGCUAAUGCGUCUCUUUUACGCGAAUUUGUGUGAAUUUGAUCGCUUAGAGGAAGGAGAAGUCGUAACA
Molecule: ribosomal RNA, 320 nt
Filed under: uncultured eukaryote
Lineage: Eukaryota
Description: partial 18S ribosomal RNA
Rfam family: Eukaryotic small subunit ribosomal RNA
Source: RNAcentral